RNAcentral lists this ribosomal RNA (253 nucleotides) under uncultured bacterium. RNAcentral describes it as "partial 16S ribosomal RNA". It matches the Rfam family "Bacterial small subunit ribosomal RNA", at positions 524 to 776 of the family's 1533-position model. The record is from RNAcentral.
UACGGGGGGGGCAAGCGUUGUUCGGAAUUACUGGGCGUAAAGGGCUCGUAGGCGGCCAACUAAGUCACACGUGAAAUCCCCAGGCUUAACCUGGGAACUGCGUGUGAUACUGGAUGGCUUGAAUUCGGGAGAGGGAUGCAGAAUUCCAGGUGUAGCGGUGAAAUGCGUAGAUAUCUGGAGGAAUACCGGUGGCGAAGGCGGCAUCCUGGACCGACAUUGACGCUGAGGAGCGAAAGCUAGGGGAUCAAACGGG